UACGUAGGGGGCAAGCGUUGUCCGGAAUCAUUGGGCGUAAAGCGCGUGUAGGCGGCUUGAUAAGUCCGCUCUGAAAGCCCGGGGCUCAACCCCGGGAGGCGGGUGGAUACUGUCAAGCUCGAGUCCGGAAGAGGCGAGUGGAAUUCCUGGUGUAGCGGUGAAAUGCGCAGAUAUCAGGAGGAACACCAAUGGCGAAGGCAGCUCGCUGGGACGUGACUGACGCUGAGGAGCGAAAGCGUGGGUAGCAAACAGG
Molecule: ribosomal RNA, 253 nt
Filed under: uncultured bacterium
Lineage: Bacteria
Description: partial 16S ribosomal RNA
Rfam family: Bacterial small subunit ribosomal RNA
Source: RNAcentral